Molecule: long non-coding RNA, 601 nt
Filed under: Vigna radiata
Lineage: Eukaryota; Viridiplantae; Streptophyta; Magnoliopsida; Fabales; Fabaceae
Description: long non-coding RNA (VRAD_LNC014376)
Source: RNAcentral
UUUUAUGAGGCAGGGGUUUUUCACAAGAUCUUUUCUUUUUACCUCUCCUCCUCUUUUUCUUAAUGUUCUCCUUCCUUAACCUUCUCCUUUUCUUUUUCUUUUCUUUCUUAAUUUUCACUUUCUUUCUCUUUUUUUCUUUUCUUUCCACCACGACAUUUCCUUUCUCAUCCUUCUUCUAACUCUCAUUCAACUUUUCUGUUUCUAUCUCCUCUAUCUUUUUCGCAACAACAACUUUUUCUGUUUUUGUUUCCUCUUCCAACAUCUCUCGCUCUUCUUCUUCUUUCUUUUCCUCAUUGAGAACCUUAUCAUGUGCAAAGAUAGUGCUUGACAUUCUUCUUUAGGUUUGACUUCAAUAUCAACCUUAAUAAUGCCCAAAGCCUUCAGGGCAUGAGAGUGUUGUUCCUGCAAUAAACGUGCUUGUGUUUCCCCCAAAGUUUCUUUGCGUACAGGAGAUUUUUUUUGUCGUAGACGCUGGUAGGAUUCUCCCAACGUUUCUUUUGGUCCAGGGACUACGUACUGCCGCAAGAAUUUUUGGACGUCCCCCAAUGCUUCUUCUGGUACAGAGAAUAAUUCCUGCUGCUAACGUUCUUUAACUUCCCCU